RNAcentral lists this ribosomal RNA (442 nucleotides) under uncultured bacterium. RNAcentral's name for it is "SSU rRNA". It matches the Rfam family "Bacterial small subunit ribosomal RNA", at positions 26 to 518 of the family's 1533-position model. The record is from RNAcentral.
AGAGCGAACGCUGGCGGCAGGCCUAACACAUGCAAGUCGAGCGCCCCGCAAGGGGAGCGGCAGACGGGAGAGUAACACGUGGGAACGUACCCUUUGGUUCGGAACAACACAGGGAAACUUGUGCUAAUACCGGAUAAGCCCUUACGGGGAAAGAUUUAUCGCCAAAGGAUCGGCCCGCGUCUGAUUAGCUUGUUGGUGAGGUAACGGCUCACCAAGGCUACGAUCAGUAGCUGGUCUGAGAGGAUGAUCAGCCUCACUGGGACUGAGACACGGCCCAGACUCCUACGGGAGGCAGCAGUGGGGAAUAUUGGACAAUGGCGCAAGCCUGAUCCAGCCAUGCCGCGUGGAUGAUGAAGGCCCUAGGGUUGUAAAGUCCUUUCGACGGGAAGAUAAUGACGGUACCCGUAGAAGAAGCCCCGGCUAACUUCGUGCCAGCAGCCGC